CCAAUAGCGUAUAUUAAAGUUGUUGCAGUUAAAAAGCUCGUAGUUGAAUUUCGGGGUUCAUCCGUUGGUCGGGCUUUUUGGUCUGUACUGGCGUGAUGGAUUCCUACCUUCUGAAUAACCGGCAUGUCAUUAAUUUGGUGCGCCGGGGAAGCAGGACUGUUACCUUGAAAAAAUUAGAGUGCUUAAAGCAGGCUAUCGCCUGAAUACAUUAGCAUGGAAUAAUGAAAUAGGACGGCAUGGUUCUAUUUUGUUGGUUUCUAGGAUCACCGUAAUGAUUAAUAGGGAUAGUUGGGGGCAUUAGUAUUCAAUUGUCAGAGGUGAAAUUCUUGGAUUUAUUGAAGACUAACUUCUGCGAAAGCAUUUGCCAAGGAUGUUUUCAUUAAUCAAGAACGAAAGUUAGGGGAUCGAAGACGAUCAGAUACCGUCGUAGUCUUAACCAUAAACUAUGCCGACUAGGGAUCGGACGAUGUUAAUUUUUUAAUGACUCGUUCGGCGCCUUACG
RNAcentral lists this ribosomal RNA (502 nucleotides) under uncultured Glomeromycotina. Its description in RNAcentral is "SSU rRNA". It matches the Rfam family "Eukaryotic small subunit ribosomal RNA", at positions 591 to 1092 of the family's 1831-position model. The record is from RNAcentral. Lineage: Eukaryota; Fungi; Glomeromycota.